This 471-nucleotide ribosomal RNA is filed under the name Gilliamella apicola. RNAcentral describes it as "bacterial LSU rRNA". It matches the Rfam family "Bacterial large subunit ribosomal RNA", at positions 2462 to 2925 of the family's 2925-position model. The record is from RNAcentral. RNAcentral also lists the same sequence under 1 other name. Lineage: Bacteria; Pseudomonadati; Pseudomonadota; Gammaproteobacteria; Orbales; Orbaceae.
GGUACUCCGGGGAUAACAGGCUGAUACCGCCCAAGAGUUCAUAUCGACGGCGGUGUUUGGCACCUCGAUGUCGGCUCAUCACAUCCUGGGGCUGAAGUAGGUCCCAAGGGUACGGCUGUUCGCCGUUUAAAGUGGUACGCGAGCUGGGUUUAGAACGUCGUGAGACAGUUCGGUCCCUAUCUGCCAUGGGCGUAGGAAAAUUGAGAGGGUUUGCUUCUAGUACGAGAGGACCGAAGUGAACGCACCGCUGGUGUACGGGUUGUGAUGCCAAUUGCAUUGCCCGGUAGCUACGUGCGGGAUAGAUAAGUGCUGAAAGCAUCUAAGCACGAAACUAGCCUUGAGAUGAGUUUUCCCAGAUGAGAAUCUGUAAGGUCCGUUUGAGACUAAGACGUAGAUAGGUCAGGUGUGUAAGUGUAGUGAUACAUUGAGCUAACUGAUACUAAUGAACCGAGAGUCUUAACCUUACAACUC